This 500-nucleotide ribosomal RNA is filed under the name uncultured bacterium. RNAcentral's name for it is "partial 16S ribosomal RNA". It matches the Rfam family "Bacterial small subunit ribosomal RNA", at positions 355 to 846 of the family's 1533-position model. The record is from RNAcentral.
UGGGGAAUUUUGGACAAUGGGGGAAACCCUGAUCCAGCCAUCUCGCGUGUGCGAUGAAGGCCUUCGGGUUGUAAAGCACUUUUGGCAGGAAAGAAACGUCGCGGGUUAAUACCCCGCGAAACUGACGGUACCUGCAGAAUAAGCACCGGCUAACUACGUGCCAGCAGCCGCGGUAAUACGUAGGGUGCAAGCGUUAAUCGGAAUUACUGGGCGUAAAGCGUGCGCAGGCGGUUCGGAAAGAAAGAUGUGAAAUCCCAGAGCUUAACUUUGGAACUGCAUUUUUUAACUACCGGGCUAGAGUGUGUCAGAGGGAGGUGGAAUUCCGCGUGUAGCAGUGAAAUGCGUAGAUAUGCGGAGGAACACCGAUGGCGAAGGCAGCCUCCUGGGAUAACACUGACGCUCAUGCACGAAAGCGUGGGGGAGCAAACAGGAUUAGAUACCCUGGUAGUCCACGCCCUAAACGAUGUCAACUAGCUGUUGGGGCCUUCGGGCCUUGGUAG